CAGAGAGCGCGGAGGGCGGCCGAGGGGGCGUGGCCUCCGGACCCAACCAUCGUGCCGGGGAGCGCUAGGCGGAGACCGCUGAGCGCCUCCGGCUCCUCCCGGGACUUCGGCGGGAAGAGGCUGUGCCUGAAGUCUGAAGCAGCCCCUCGGAAUCCAUUAUUGACCUGUGUAGCUGGGGUGCGAGUGGUGCAGGAGCAAGGGCCUCCGGUUUCUUGGCUCCCCCCUCUCCAUGUUGGAAUGAGAGGAGCCGGUGUGUCACGUGACCAAGUUUGGCAAGUCACGUGACGAGGUGCUAGCCGCAGCUGGGCCUCGGGAAAGAGUCAGCUCUGGCGGCGCUGCUGGUAACCUUGGCGGUGGGCGCUUAGGAGCAGAGAGUCCUCUCUUACCAUGUCUGGCUGGCGGCGACCCAGAUGCCAUGUGAUGGUCAUUUGAAGACAGGCCUGUCGGACAUCAGUUUCCAAGAGGAGGAAUGGGAAUUUAUAUGAUUUAACCACUUGAGAUCCUCAAAGAAAGAACUACUGAAAGAUGUACCUCAUUGAGAAAAAAUAGGAUCUCAGAAGAAAGGCAUGGAAUACCAAGAGCACAAAAAUCUGCCUGGAACAUGCACAGGAUGCCUGUAGAUUCAGAAGCCAUUUGUAAUCAUGAAGAUGAAAGCCACAAAGGACGACAGAUCUGGAAGAGAGAAGCAGCCACGACGUCAGCCUUGGACAGCCUACUACAGACAGAUGGCCGCAAUGUCUCAAAACUGCUGCGGAAACCAUUCUCAGAGAAUUCCAUGUGAGUGCCCACUCUGGAGUUGUGCAGCCCCACCCGGGUACAGAUGGAGUAAGAGGGAAGAACUGAUCAAAGUCAGCUCAAACAAGUCUGACCAAGAUUCCUGAAGGUGUUUCGAGCCUGGUAUAAAAGGAGGGGAGAGAGAUGAUUGAUGGGGAAGUUAGAAGUGUGCAGUCCAUUAAGAUUUAGAGGCAACGGUUUUAGAUGCCCACACUCAGAGGCCCUUCCUGUGCAGUGGUGCCGGGCAGAUUGCCUCAGUAAAGAAGAGUGGCUGUACCAGACUCUCCUGGCAGAUUAGGGUGGAAUGCUUUGAAGGCAGGACUGAGUAAAUUCAAAAUGUCCUGUGGGGGAGGUUAGAAUACUUGCUGAGAAGACUCCAAGGGAAGAUAAGAGGGAGGAUUAGAGAACAGAGUUGAAGGAGAGAUAAGACACUGGGGAGAUAUCCUGUUUUUUCUCAUAGACUGAUCCUUCUCUUUCCCAAGCUCCACAUGUCUGUCUCAAAUCCCUAACUGUAGGUGUGCCCUAAGAGUCCUUGGCCCACCCACAUUCAAUCUUGAUAGUCCGAUCUGGAUCUCAAUGACCCCUUGUCCAGUUGUCUGCUUAAUUUCUUCCCGUAAGUGUCCUACUAUUACUCAAACUUACACUUUUCCUUCCAAACCUGUCUAGCCCAAUCGUGCCCACACUCAUAACCUCAGACUCAUCUUUUAAUCUCCCUCAUUCCUUCCUUCUCUUCUGAAACUCAAUCUUCUAGUUCUUUCAAUCUUUACCUCACAAAGUCUCUCUAAAACACUUCUAAGUGACCAAUGCAAAGAUUCUGGAAGUCUGUGAUCUCUGAGACUGUCGUUUACUAUCCACCUGAGAAGGCAAGCUCUGGGCUAAAACUCCACGUCCUGCUUGGUGAGACGGGGACUGGCGGCAUCAAUUGGUGAAUUUGGAUGGCUCAUACGUCUGU
Diceros bicornis minor is the source of this 1726-nucleotide long non-coding RNA. RefSeq lists it as uncharacterized. The transcript has 5 exons. NCBI's taxonomy places the organism in Eukaryota, Metazoa, Chordata, Mammalia, Perissodactyla, Rhinocerotidae. The record is from RefSeq and is a predicted model, not a curated record.